RNAcentral lists this long non-coding RNA (693 nucleotides) under Homo sapiens (human). RNAcentral's name for it is "HSALNT0362660". Lineage: Eukaryota; Metazoa; Chordata; Mammalia; Primates; Hominidae. The record is from RNAcentral.
AAAACUGAGGCUCAGCCAAGCAAGGAACGGCGGAGACCUGAGAGGGAUGGGAAGGAGACGCCGAGGGGGAGGGGCGAGCGGGGGCCAGGAACCAAGGCGGUGGCAGCCGCGCCCUAAGCCAGCUGGCCCGGGGCCCCUCCAGCCCUAGAUCGGUCCUCCACGAGCCUGCCUUGAGGAUGCAGAGCCCCAUCUAGCUCCAGUUCUGCCGCCAACUCCCUGGCACCUUGGACAGAUCCCCUGAUCCUUCAGGCCCCCUCAUCAAGCUUACUGAGUCUCUGGGAGUAGCAGGAGGUCAACACAGAGACAGGUCUCAAGACUUCCUGGCCUCUCCCAUCUCGUGGGCAGUUGAAGGAGCUACUUCCUGUCUUAGUCCCCGACAGCAGUAAUAAUAAUAAUAAUACCAAAUGAAAUUCUGAUUGUACACUCAAGACGUGCCAAGCAGUAUACCUAUGUUUCUUGCACAUCAUUUCAUUUCAUGAGGGUGCCAGCACAGACCUGAAACCCCCUUUGUCACUAUGGGGAUACCCUUACCCCUGUCCCUAGCCUUCCUGCCACCCCACUCAGGAGCUCCUGGGAGCUUGCCCUUACCCGUAAGGACAGGGUGUCUUUGCACUGUAAGCUGAUGCCACACUCAUCAGUGAUCUCCGAGAGGUCUUCAUCCUCAAACUCCUCCAGGCUGAUGUCAUGGGUGAG